This 200-nucleotide ribosomal RNA is filed under the name uncultured bacterium. RNAcentral describes it as "partial 16S ribosomal RNA". It matches the Rfam family "Bacterial small subunit ribosomal RNA", at positions 524 to 723 of the family's 1533-position model. The record is from RNAcentral.
UACGGAGGAUGCAAGCGUUAUCCGGAUUUAUUGGGUUUAAAGGGUUCGUAGGCGGGAAGAUAAGUCAGUGGUGAAAGCCUGCAGCUCAACUGUAGAACUGCCAUUGAUACUGUCUUUCUUGAAUAUAUAUGAAGUGGGCGGAAUACGUCAUGUAGCGGUGAAAUGCACAGAUAUGACGUAGAACACCGAUAGCGAAGGCA